RNAcentral lists this ribosomal RNA (249 nucleotides) under uncultured bacterium. RNAcentral's name for it is "partial 16S ribosomal RNA". It matches the Rfam family "Bacterial small subunit ribosomal RNA", at positions 524 to 771 of the family's 1533-position model. The record is from RNAcentral.
UACGGAGGGUGCGAGCGUUGUCCGAAGAUCACUGGGCGUAAAGGGCGCGUAGGCGGCUCAUGAAGGCUGUGGUGAAAGUCCGGGGCUCAACCUCGGAUCGGCCGUGGCGACUCGUGGGCUGGAGCACUGUAGAGGCGGGUGGAAUUCCGGGUGUAGCGGUGGAAUGCGUAGAGAUCCGGAAGAACACCAGUGGCGAAGGCGGCCCGCUGGGCAGUGGCUGACGCUGAGGCGCGACAGCGUGGGGAGCAA